GUCCGUAAGUCAUGGGAUUAAGUGGAAACGAUAGUGGGAACGCGAGUCGAGUACAGCCAGGAUGAUUGGCUUAGAAGUACAGCCAUCAUUUAAAGAAAGCGUAAUAGCUCACUGGUCGAGUCGGCCUGCGACGGAAGAUGUAACGGGGCUAAACCAUGCACCGAAGCUGCGGCAGCGACACUAUGUGUUGUUGGGUAGGGGAGCGUUCUGUAAGCCUGCGAAGGUG
Molecule: ribosomal RNA, 226 nt
Filed under: Klebsiella pneumoniae
Lineage: Bacteria; Pseudomonadati; Pseudomonadota; Gammaproteobacteria; Enterobacterales; Enterobacteriaceae
Description: partial 23S ribosomal RNA
Rfam family: Bacterial large subunit ribosomal RNA
Source: RNAcentral